Molecule: long non-coding RNA, 4073 nt
Organism: Eriocheir sinensis (Chinese mitten crab)
Lineage: Eukaryota; Metazoa; Arthropoda; Malacostraca; Decapoda; Varunidae
Exons: 4
Source: RefSeq, a predicted model, not a curated record
UUUCUUUAAAUAAACGAAUUCUGAAGAGUUUACAUGCGCCAAUUUUUGACUAAUUGGUAUUUUAUGUAUUUUGUUGGGACAACCGUCCGGGUUCACCAAGUACACUUGGUUUAUGUGCAUGUGGGAUAGUAGGGACAAAGUUCAACAUUACACGAAGAAGGACUGGCUUGUACAGGAGGAAUUGGUGCCUUGUAGAGCAAGGAACUUCAUAAACAACCCUCUGGUGGACAGAGACGUGAUACUCUUCCCAUCACUGCACAUCAAGCUCAGCUUGAUCAAACAGUUCACCAACGCUCUGGACAAGGAUGGUGGUUUCUUCACUUACUUGUGCCAUGCUUUUCCAGGAUCGACCAUGGAGAAGUUGAAAGCUGGCAUCUUUGGCGGUCCUCAACUCCGUCAGCUUAUCAGAGAUCCAGAGUUUGAAAACUCAGUGAAUGAAGUGGAACUGGAAGCGUGGAAGGCUUUUUGUUCUUGUUGUGAAGAAUUUUAUUGGCAAAAAGAAGGCCAGGAAUUACAGUUUACAUGACUUUGUGACAUUCUGGAGAAAACACAGUCGACUCAUGAAUUGGGAUUUCAUCCUUCCGGGCCCUGACAGUGUGCUAUGAUGAGGCUCUUCUACCUGCCUGCCACUGCUGCCAACAUAUCAGUCAUUGACAGGUGAUGAUAGUCACAACAGACACAUGGAUUGUCCCAGUGAUGAGGAAGACCAGAGGCUGCUUUGCCAUGACCAGUACCAUCACCACAGAGAUCCUGCCAGCACCACCACCAAGGCGCAGUACUCGAUGGAUCCUGUCUGGUGUAGCAUCCCUCCAACAAGCUGUACUCCCACUCAGUCAUUGAAGCUCCAACAUCCCACCUGUACUUGCCUGGAUGUGUUUGUAAACUCUGAAAAAGUACAAAUUAAAUUCCUUAUUUCUCUAUAAUAGUAAGUUGACAAAGUAAUGAUUGGUGUUCCACAGGAUUGCUUGAGAAGAAGUAACUAUGCGGAGUAAAAUAGGAGGAAGGAAACGCUGUAUUAAGGUGAAUAGUUGCACUUUCACUAGACACCCCAUUUGCUGCUCAGGAGUCAGGCUAUACCCCUUUGUCCAUAUCCCAGCAGCAGACAGUAAGGUGUUACAUUUACUUUCCUUCCUGGCCGCGCACUCCUUGGUGGCGGCAUGGUACAUAUUAUCUGCAGUCCUUUUGUUGUUCAAAGUUUGUGGUUUGUAUAAUGCCUCCUUGACUUUUCUCUCUUUUUUCCUCAGGCCACUCUCCAGCACCAUUGCAUCAUCCCACUUUGGCAAAUGGCCACUAUCCUCCACCCGCGCACUGGUUUGGUAGUGGUGCCUUACGUCUGCACUUGCACCCGACAUACAGUAUUUAGUAUACAACACUUCUUUAUUCUCUGUCUCUACUUUUCCACACCAGUUCAUAACUUCUCCCCCCAUACCUAUGUGACUUAAGGCAUUCCCUAGAGGCUGUGUCAAGUCAGACUUGGGGACACUUUGGUAUUUCCAUUUGUUUUUUCCCUUUCCAUGUCUUUCUUUUUAAUGGUCACCUUUGUCCCCUCUCAUAUCUCAACCAGGGGGCCCUUGAGGUACCCCAGUCUGGAGAUCAUGCUCUCAUUGUGGGAAUUUCCAUUCAGUCACUCCACAUACAGAAAACUCAUAUAUUGAACCCAAUCAUCACACCCUUUUUGGUUCUCAAAUCGUGGGCACUAAGGAAUUGGAUGUAAUUGGCCUUGUUGGUCAGUUAUCUGUGCACUUAAUAGGAGGCACAGUUUCCAAUGAUUGUCAGUGCCAAGGUAUGGAAGGUGACCAUUUAUUUCCUCCUACGUACAGAUUUUUGUGUGCACUGUUUAUUUCACUAUAUCUGUUUUGUGGUCAGUGAUGACCUGCACAUUGUGUACAUAUAGAAACCAUUUAGUUGUUCUCGUUAACAGUUGCUAGUAGUGUUCACUCUUCAGGACUUCCAUGAACAGGAAAGUCAUCACUGCACUUAAAAUUGACGCAAGAUUAGUGCCAGUGUGCAUGGGUUUGGGCCGUUUCACUUAACAGUGAGGAAUAUCACCAGCAAGAGGGCCUCGUGAUGGGGUCACCAUAAAGUGCAGUGAUAGCUUUCCAGGUCAUGGAAAUUUUGGAAAGUGAGCGCUACUCACAACUGUCAAUAAGAACAACAAAAUGGUUCCAAUACAUACACGAUGUGCUGGUCAUCACCAACAAUGAAAGAUAUGGUAGGCUAAAUGAGAGAAUAAAACAAGUGCACCCAAAAAUCCAGUACUCAGUGGAGGAGGAAACCAAUGGCCAGCUUCUAUUCCUUGACGCUCAUAAGAUCAGGAAACACUGCCUCUCAUUAAGUGCACAAAAAAACAACCAACAAGGCCAACUACAUCCAUUACCUCAACACUCCCGAUUCGAGAACCAAAAGGGAAAAUUGCCACAUCGAGGACACAUUUUCCUAACUGGGGCACCCCAAGGAUCUCCUGGAUGAGUUACAAGAGAGGGCAAAGGUGAUUAUGAAAAAGAUACGGAAAGGGAGAAAGACAUAACUGAAAUACCGGUUUGUCCCCGCAUCUGACUUGGCACACAGGCUAUCAAAUAGUUGGUGUGGGGGGCGAGUUGUGAUUUGGUGUAGAAAAGUAGAGACGAAGAAUAAGGAUAAGGACAGUGUUGUAUACCAAAUACUGUGCAGCAGGUGUGAGUGCAACUAUUCAGUGAGACCAGCAGGGCCUGAAUGUUGUUAGGCUUAUGGAGCACAGUGUGGGCAUAAGGCACCACGCCAAACCAUAUUGACGAUGAUGGCCACUUGCCAAAGUGAAAUGGUGCUAAGGUGCUGGAGAGUGGUCUGUGCAGAAGAGAGAGAAAAGUCAAGGGGACAUAUACAUUGCCCAAACUCCAACAUCAACAAAAGGACUGGAGAUUCAACAUAGGCUAUGUCGGCUGCCAAUGUGUGCACAGCCGUUGUCGUGAGAGCAACAUUAACUGGAAAGAAAGUGAUAGUAACGCUUCCAUUUUGGAGUAACCUUGCCUCUGAGCAGUAAUUGGGGUGUCUCAUUUGACCUGUGUAGAAGAAGCAAAAACAAAACUAGUUGGGUAACAUUAAUACAGUGUUUUCUUCACCCAACAUGUCCACAAAAUCCUAAUAAUGACUGCUGUCGACUCACAAGCAUGGAUGUGGCACAUUGCAACUCUUGCUUUCUUUUUUUUUCCAAUAAUAUAUGGGAAUGUUUGUAUACAUAAACUCGCACUUUCUUAUACUAUCUCGAAAUUACCAAGUUGCAUCGAUAACGUACCAUACAAGCACAUCAAAGAAAGAGUUUAUAUGAAACAGCAUGUCAGAUCAUACACAAAGAGUGGCCAUUUAAAUAACUCAAGCUACAUAGACAUUGCCUCUUUAAAGGCAAAUAAAAGUAGUUUCAAUUAUUUAUUGCAUGUAAAUCAUAGAAAAUUAUCAAAACAUUCGAAUCACAUUCAAUGAUAUUUCAUGCUACUUCAUAUAUCACCCAUGUGAUAUACAUGCAAAAUUGUUGAAAUAACUUUUUUUUUGCUCUUACAGAGCCAGAUGUUCAUAUGCACCUGAAAUGAGAUUAUUCAUGAAGUACAAUGUGCAUGUGCCACAUCCCUCAAAAUUCAUGCUUUGUGGAUGGACAGAUGAAACAAAACUGAUCAUACUUAAAGUAAGCUGUGAACUCUACUUGCCAUAUGUUUGGAAGACUUCUAAUACACUUUAGGGACACUACAAUUUGUUUACUUUAAAUACUGGAUGCUCACAGUUCCUUGGGAUAUAAUUGAUAUUAAUGAAUAAAAUUAAAAUUGACAUAACUUCAAGAAGUGUUUAAUGUAUAAUUCUAUAUUCUACUGACAGCUGCCUAAAAAAAAUAUUUGCAUAUUUUAAGUGAGCAAUUAUUGUGUUGGGAGUGUUAUCAAAUGAGACCACUCACACCAGGAUAUAGGAUGAGAGGGAGAAGGCAAGUGGAGGGGAGAGAACAAUGUAGAGGAGAGCUCAGAGAAGGGAGGAAUGGGGUGUGGUUUAGCAUUAACCUAAACUUGUAAAUCCUGCAGCGAAAUGGUGAGAAAAUAACAUUAUAGAAAAUG